Odocoileus virginianus texanus is the source of this 276-nucleotide non-coding RNA. Lineage: Eukaryota; Metazoa; Chordata; Mammalia; Artiodactyla; Cervidae. The record is from RefSeq and is a predicted model, not a curated record.
UCUGCGCGCGGCUGGCGGAGACUCCAGCCUGAAACUGCGGGAGCUUGGAGUCCCGCAACAGGUUUUUCCGGUUUGAAUUAAGCAAAGGCCUGAGCACAAGGCAAGUGAGCAAAUCCUGCAAAGUUGAGAUUUUUCUCCGUGAUGAAAUGUGUAUCUGAGCCAAUUCAAACCCAGUAUUGCUCUCCUUCUCCCUCCCUUCUCUCCAUCUGGAAAUUAAAAGAAUGUGGUAAUGUAGAAACCGGGUCUUAGUUGCAGCAUGUGGGAUGUAGUUCUCGA